This 127-nucleotide small nucleolar RNA is filed under the name Nannospalax galili (Upper Galilee mountains blind mole rat). Lineage: Eukaryota; Metazoa; Chordata; Mammalia; Rodentia; Spalacidae. The record is from RNAcentral.
AGCCUCUCACAUUGAGCUGUGGGAUCCCUUUCCUCCUCAGCCAGGUCUGGAGGCCAAGAUCAGCCCUUGAAGAUCAUUGUCAGGACUGCUAUGAGUGGGCAGCUUUGUUUUCCUGCCUCAGACACUG